This 5275-nucleotide long non-coding RNA is filed under the name Sus scrofa (pig). RNAcentral's name for it is "lncRNA (ENSSSCG00000058293.1)". The record is from RNAcentral. Lineage: Eukaryota; Metazoa; Chordata; Mammalia; Artiodactyla; Suidae.
UCCAAAGCAAAAUGCCCCACCCCACCCCACCCCCCUGGCCAACUUUCCUCUGCAGAGCACUGUGGUCCUGGUGCUGUGGUCCUCUCCUUCCCUCUGGCCUCUCCAGGUAUGUGUGGGGGAAAAAGAAGGGGUGCAUCCUGGGAUAGGUGGGGCAUGGAAUAGUUACCCGUUACCCAGAUCAGUGAGUGAGGAGUGGCAACAAGAAUGAACCCCCUCCUCUGCUCCCUGCUCCCAAGCGUUGCCUGAAAAUCAAAAGGGGUCAAGACUAUUCAGGGACCAAUAAGGUUGAGAAAGCUACUUUUUACGAGUAGCAAAUGUUUUGUAGGGAGAGAUUUGUUUAAUGAAUGUUCUUUUUCUACCUAAGUCUUGGUAGAUUUGAAUAAGUAAAAACAGUCUGAAGCUCUCUUCGGGGAAGCUCUCUUCUCAGGGGUGGAGAAAGCUGAGGUUUUCGGCCUGGAAAGUUCAGUAGCUGGGAAUGCGAAGUGUAAUAAUAGAAAUGUCCCUAAAAAUGCCUCAGGUAGAGUGGCCCAAGUCAUUUUAAAAACAGGAAGGGUUAAUAUUCCAUUUAACAUGAUUUGUGUUAUAAUGGCAUUACUCUAUACUCCUCAGACAUGCACUCACCUCUGUCUCUGGCAAAUUUUUAGUGCAAUUUCCUGCACACUCACUAGCUUGACUGACUAUGAAAUCAAAGAAGUGGCUGAAUCCUUCACUGGGGAAAGGAUAUUGCAAAGGAAGUAGAGACAAUCCAUAAACUACACUGAUUCGACAGAAGCAGGAGCUAGGUAGAGGUGACAAUGAAAGUGAAGCCACCUCCUCCUCUCCAUCUACCUAGACAUUUUCCCACAUCAUCUUGAAUGUUUUGCAGUUCUAUGAAAUGUGGAACAAGGCUUUGAGCCCAUUGUAAAGGGCAAGGCGACUGCAGCUGAUGAUUCCCAAAGACUUGUUUCCAGCCCUUGACCUUGGAUCCAAUUGCCUAGUCAAUUUCUCUUCUUAGAUGUCUAACAGACAACUCCAGUUUAAAAGAGCCAAAAACCUGCAACUAGAGAGUAUCAUACUAAGUGAAGUGAGUCAGAAAAAGAAAGACAAUAUCACUUAAACGUGGAUUCUAAAAUAUGGCACAAAUGAACUUAUCUACAAAACAGAAACAGACUCACAGACAUAAAGAACAGACCUGUGGUUGUCAAAGGGGAAGGGGAGGGAGUGGGAUGGACUGGGAGUUUGGGGUUGGUAGAUCCAAACUAUUAUAUCUAGAAUGGAUAAGCAUUGAGGUCCUACUGUACAGCACAAGGAAACAUAUCCAGUCUCUUGGGCUAGACCGUGAUCGAAGAUAAUAUAAGAAAAAAAUGUAAAUAAAUAUAUGUAUGACGGGGUCACUUUGCUGUACAGCAGAAAUUGGCACAAUGCUGUAAAUCAACUAUAUUUUAAUAAAAAAAUAAAAAAUAAAAUAAAAUGGUCAAAAGCCAAAUUCAACUCCACCCCAUAUACACACUUCUCCCUUAAGCUUCCUCAUCUGAAUUAACAGCCCUGUAUCUACUCAAUUGCUCAAACCUCAAACUUUGAGUUAGUUAUCCUUGAUCCCUCUCUCUCUCAUCUAAGCAACCCAUCAGCAGGCCCCGUCAGCUUGGACAUUUCUCACCUUCUCCAUACACGACGAUGAUCCCACCCAACUAUCCACCACCUUCCUCAGCUGAAUUAGUACAAGAACCUCCUAAACUCCUAAUCAUCCUACCUCUACUGUGGCCCCCAGUGGUCUUUUUUCAACAUAUCUGUAAAGCCAGAUAGAGGGUCUGUGACCAAAUCAGAACCUAUCAGUCCACAGUUUAACAUAAUCUAUGGUGUCUUCUGCUAUUCAAACUCCUCCCCAUGGCUGAUAGGCCCCCACAUGACCUGGCCCUGCUCACCUCUCUGACCUCAUCUCCUUCUACUCUUCCACCAUUCAUAAGGUGUCAUCCACCCUGACCCCUUUCUUUUCUUUUUCUUUCUUUUUUUUUUUUUUUCUUUUUAGGGCCACAGCUACAGCAUAUGGAUGCUCCCAGGCUAGGGGUUGAAUCGGAGCUAUAGCUGCUGCAGCCAUAGCCACAGCCACAGGGGAUCCCAGCCCCAUCUGUGACCUAUACUGCAGCUCGCUGCAACGCCAGAUGCUUAACCCACUGAGCAAGGCCAGGGAUUGAAACCACAUCCUCAUGGCUACUAGUUGGGUUCCUAACCCACUGAGCCACAGUGGGAACUCCCACACUGACCCCUUUCUACACACAUGCACACACACACACACACACACACACACACACAAACACACACACACAGAGUGCUUCUUCCCUCAGAGCCUUUGUCCUUGUUAUUCUCUUGCCUAGAUUGCUUUUCCUGUACAUUUUUGCAUAGUUGCCACAAUCCUCACUUGUCUGCCCAAUUGUCACUCUCUACAUUUUCCUUGCUUUAUUUCCUAAUAGCACAUAUUUGUUGUUUGAUUACAUAUUUUCAUCUCUCUCUCCCCAUUAGAACAAGAGCUCCAUGAAGGGGGAGAUGCUUAUCUCCAGCUCCAAGACAGUACCAGGUACAGAACAGGAACAAUGUGUGAAAUGCAUCUGAGUUUCACUUGUUCUCUGUUUUCCCUCCACCAAAGGCCGUCCUGAACUGUGGCAUCUGCUAAAGUCCUCACUCAUUUGAAUUUUGUCAUUAACUGUUCCCCUAAGUCAGCUAAGAUGGACCACAGGUAGAUGGCCUGGGGCUUCCCCUGGAAAAAGCAGAGGCUGCACUCGAGCUGGCAGAGGCCUGAAGAAAAUUCACACACACAGGAAGUCCCUUCUUUCCUAGUAUCCAGUUUUAUCCCUUUUCAUAACUUUAUCGAAAUGUUCUGCUCUUGCCAUUUCAUUUUUCCAUUUCAUUUUUCUUCAGACUUUUUCCUGAAGGGAAAAAGACUUUUGUUUGAUUUUUGGUCACUCGCCACAGUUCCUGACUCAAAUAUUCACUUUUUUACUUAGCAAUUCAAAGUCAGAGUUCCCGUCGUGGCUCAGCUGAAACAAAUCUGACUAGCAUCCAUGAGGACUUAGGUUCCAUCCCUGGCCUCACUCAGUGGGUUAAGGAUCCAGUGUUGCCGUGAGCUGUGGUGUAGGUGGCAGACUUGGCUGGAUCUGAUGUUGCUGUGGCUGUGGCGUAGGCCAGCAGCUACAGCUCCGAUUUGACCCCUAGCCUGGAAUCCUCUAUAUGCUGCGGGUGCAGCCCUAAAAAGGCAAAACAAAACAAAACAAUGUUGCUUAGGAUCCUGAUAAUGAACAUAAAUAACUGUGUGUGUAUGUGGGUAAACCGCUUAACGGCUUGUGAUGAGGGCCCUGCCUUUUUCUGGUUGGUUAGCAAUGCUUCUGAUAGCCCAUGAUGUACAUUCAUGAGCCAGCAAAGUGAAAUAAUAGCUCUUACAGUUAAGGAAUGUUGCAGACAUUUAUUUUUUUAUGUAAUGCAGAAUUUGCAUUUGUUCUUAGUAGAUUCGUAUAAACAGCUAGCCAGAGAUUCUGUCGUCAAAGUGCUCACAAUAUAUUUGAAUUGUCACUGACAUCUCACUGGCUGAAAGCACAAGUAUAUUGUUUCAUACACACACACACACACACACACACACACACACACACACGUCUUGAAUAAAUUAAGCAAUAACCUCCCUGGGCCCCAAUAAAGUGUUCAUUCCCCAAGUCCUUUGUUACAUCUCAUCUCGCUGAGAUCUGAUGUGUGUAAGGACACCCACAGCUCUCCCCAGCAUAAGAGGGGAAGCAAGAGAGAGUCAAAGAUAAAAGAGGCAAGGAGGGAAAGACAAAAUGCUUAGUGGAAAGGGUAAAUGUGGCCAAUUCUUCCCUUUCCUGAUUCCAGCAGAGCCUGGUAGUUAACUCCUCUUUAAGAUCUGCCAAGGAAAAUAUAUAUUUCAUUUUGAUAUGUUUCUGUUGUCUGCAUGGUUUGCUUUGUCUAAGGAGAAAAAGAAUUGGAGAAGAAAUUAGAAGGAAAACAUUUUCUUGCUUUUAUUCUUUUAAAAAAAAAGGAGUAUAUACUGAACUUCUUUGCAGAACAGAUGCUGACUCACAGACAUUGAAAAACUUAUGGUCUCUGGAGGAGACAGUUAGGGGGGUGGGGGGAUGUGCCUGGGCUGUGGGAUGGAAAUCCUGUGAAUUUAGAUUGUUAUGAUCAUUAUACAACUACAGAUGUGAUAAAUUCAUUUGAGUAAUAAAAAAGAAAAAAAUUUUAAAAAGGGAGUAUAAGCAGGACAUGGAAAUACCAUAAAAGGGUCAAUUAUCCUGCAAUCACUAAUAUCCUACACUAAUAUAUCUAGGUGACAGAAGAGAUGGAGCCAUAAUGGGUGGCUCCGUACUCUUUUUCUCUCUCUCUGCCAUGUGAGGACACAGCAAGGAGAAAACAUCUGAGAGCCAGGAAGAGAACUUUCACCAGGAAAAAAAUCAGCCAAUACCUUGAUCUUGGACCUCUCAGUCUUUAGAAAUGUGAGAACUAAAUGUCUGUUGUUUAAGCCACCAGGUCUAUGGUAUUUUGUUAUGGCAACCUGAGCUAAGACAGUGAUUUACAUGAAUUCAUUUAGCAGAUAUUUUUCUGAGCCUCUCUAGGUACUGUCCCAGGGCUGUGGGUAGAGCAGUGGUAAAGUAGAUGAGGUUCUGCCUUCCUGGUGGGACUUGCAUUCCAGUGAAAUCUGCCACAGACAAUAAACAGGUAAACAAGCAAGCAAAUUUUAGAUAGUGAUGAGAGCCAAGAAGAAGACACAAUAGGGCCAUGCAGUGCAGAAUGACUGGGAAGGGGCUACUUUAGAUCAGAUAGUCAAAGGAAGCUUCCUGGGGACAGAAUAUUUGAGCUGAAUGGCAAGGAAGAGCCAACUAGGAGAUAAUCUGGUGGAAAAUUCCAGACCUGGAAACCAAGACGUUAGCACUGUGACUGUGUAAAAAUGGAUAGCUACCUCUGAAUUACAGCAGGCAAAGAAUAAAGUAGACUUGAGAUAUACUUGAGUAUUAAUAUCCAUAAAUGGAAGAAGAGAUGCACAGCAAGAACAUUUAUAUAAGAAGUUUCAGGAGUUCCCGUUGUGGCUCAGUGGUUAACGAAUCUGACUAGCAUCCAUAAGGACACAGGUUCAAUCCCUGGCCUCACUCAGUGGGUUAAAGAUCCAGUGUUGCCGUGAGCUGUGGUGUAGGUCACAGAGGCAGCUCAGAUCCUGCAUUGCUGUGGCUGUGGUGUAGGUGGGCAGUUACAGCUCCAAUCGGAUCGCUAGCCUGGGAACCUCCAUAUGCCGCAGGUGCAG